RNAcentral lists this ribosomal RNA (442 nucleotides) under uncultured bacterium. Its description in RNAcentral is "partial 16S ribosomal RNA". It matches the Rfam family "Bacterial small subunit ribosomal RNA", at positions 338 to 795 of the family's 1533-position model. The record is from RNAcentral.
CCUACGGGUGGCAGCAGUAGGGAAUCUUUCACAAUGGGCGAAAGCCUGAUGGAGCAACGCCGCGUGCAGGAUGAAGGCCUUCGGGUUGUAAACUGCUUUUAUAAGCGAGAAAUAUGAUGGUAACUUAUGAAUAAGGAUCGGCUAACUACGUGCCAGCAGCCGCGGUCAUACGUAGGAUCCGAGCAUUAUCCGGAGUGACUGGGUGUAAAGAGUUGCGUAGGUGGCAUAAUCAGUAGCUAGUGAAAUCUGGUGGCUCAACCAUUCAGACUAUUAGCUAAACUGUUAAGCUCGAGACCGUUAGGGGUAACUGGAAUGUCUAGUGUAGGAGUGAAAUCCGUAGAUAUUAGAAGGAACACCAAUAGCGUAGGCAGGUUGCUGGGACGGUUCUGACACUAAGGCACGAAAGCGUAGGGAGCAAACGGGAUUAGAUACCCCAGUAGUC